Molecule: small RNA, 302 nt
Filed under: Vigna angularis var. angularis
Lineage: Eukaryota; Viridiplantae; Streptophyta; Magnoliopsida; Fabales; Fabaceae
Description: Non-protein coding transcript
Source: RNAcentral
CUUCUUUUAAUUCCAAAUCAGAUUUGGAGUUUUGGGUGAGAGUAAAGAGGUCCUUGGUGAGAGGUGAACGAAAAUUCCAAGUGUACUAAGUGUGGAGGCUAACUUGGUCUAGCAAGGAGGAGAGGAGUUGCUCCCUUUGAAGAAGAGUUUAAGGUGUUUUAGUCUUCAAGAGUGGACUUAUUCUGCAGGGCGCUGAUGGUGUUCUAGUUCGAGGAGGUUUUGGUGAUGGAGGAGUGCAAGGGAAAAUUCUUGCGGCUAAGUAUGCUCGAGAACAUAGUGUUCCAUUUCUGGGCAUUUUCUUG